RNAcentral lists this transfer RNA (72 nucleotides) under Trichobilharzia regenti. It matches the Rfam family "tRNA". From Rfam's summary of the family: Transfer RNA (tRNA) molecules are approximately 80 nucleotides in length. Their secondary structure includes four short double-helical elements and three loops (D, anti-codon, and T loops). Further hydrogen bonds mediate the characteristic L-shaped molecular structure. tRNAs have two regions of fundamental functional importance: the anti-codon, which is responsible for specific mRNA codon recognition, and the 3' end, to which the tRNAs corresponding amino acid is attached (by aminoacyl-tRNA synthetases). tRNAs cope with the degeneracy of the genetic code in two manners: having more than one tRNA (with a specific anti-codon) for a particular amino acid; and 'wobble' base-pairing, i.e. permitting non-standard base-pairing at the 3rd anti-codon position. Lineage: Eukaryota; Metazoa; Platyhelminthes; Trematoda; Strigeidida; Schistosomatidae. The record is from Rfam by way of RNAcentral.
GCGUCAGUGGUACAGUGGUUAGGCUCUUGCCCAUCAUGCAAAUGGUCCGGGGUUCGAUCCCCUGCCGACGUA